Molecule: ribosomal RNA, 261 nt
Filed under: uncultured bacterium
Lineage: Bacteria
Description: partial 16S ribosomal RNA
Rfam family: Bacterial small subunit ribosomal RNA
Source: RNAcentral
GUCCACGCCUAACUAUGAUCACUCGAUCUGUUCCGAGCAAUCGGGAUGGGUCCAAGCGAAAGCGUUAAGUGAUCCACCUGGGAAGUACGAUCGCAAGGUUGAACUCAAAGGAAUUGGCGGGUCCGCACAAGCGGUGGAGCAUGUGGUUAAUUCGAUGAUAAGCGAGGAACCUUACCUGGGCUAGAAUGCGUGAUGCCAGUCCCGGAAACGGGAUCUUCCCGAGCAAUCGGGACGUCAUGCAAGGUGCUGCAUGGUUGUCGU